This 345-nucleotide unclassified non-coding RNA is filed under the name soil metagenome. Its description in RNAcentral is "partial contains 5.8S ribosomal RNA, internal transcribed spacer 2, and large subunit ribosomal RNA". The stretch from base 1 to 120 matches the Rfam family "5.8S ribosomal RNA", at positions 35 to 154 of the family's 154-position model. The record is from RNAcentral.
GAUGAAGAACGCAGCGAAAUGCGAUACGUAAUGUGAAUUGCAGAAUUCAGUGAAUCAUCGAGUCUUUGAACGCACAUUGCGCCCCCUUGUAUUCCGGGGGGCAUGCCUGUCCGAGCGUCAUUGCUGCCCUCAAGCACGGCUUGUGUGUUGGGCCUCCGUCCUCCUCCCGGGGGACGGGCCCGAAAGGCAGCGGCGGCACCGCGUCCGGUCCUCGAGCGUAUGGGGCUUCGUCACCCGCUCUUGUAGGCCCGGCCGGCGCUUGCCGACACAUCAAUCUUUUUUCCAGGUUGACCUCGGAUCAGGUAGGGAUACCCGCUGAACUUAAGCAUAUCAAUAAGCGGAGGA